GGCAUCGAGGAUAGAUGAAAGGUGGCCUCUACAUGUAAGCUAUCACUGAAGGAGGGGAUUGCGUCUGAUUAGCUAGUUGGAGGGGUAACGGCCCACCAAGGCGAUGAUCAGUAGCCGGUCUGAGAGGAUGAACGGCCACAUUGGGACUGAGACACGGCCCAGACUCCUACGGGAGGCAGCAGUGGGGAAUCUUCCGCAAUGGACGAAAGUCUGACGGAGCAACGCCGCGUGAGUGAUGACGGCCUUUCGGGUUGUAAAGCUCUGUUAAUCGGGACGAAAGGCCUUCGUGCGAAUAGUGAGAAGGAUUGACGUACCCGAAUAGAAACCACGCUAACUA
Molecule: ribosomal RNA, 337 nt
Filed under: Veillonella parvula
Lineage: Bacteria; Bacillati; Bacillota; Negativicutes; Veillonellales; Veillonellaceae
Description: bacterial SSU rRNA
Rfam family: Bacterial small subunit ribosomal RNA
Source: RNAcentral